This is a long non-coding RNA of Carya illinoinensis, 982 nucleotides long. RefSeq lists it as uncharacterized. The record is from RefSeq and is a predicted model, not a curated record. The transcript is spliced from 2 exons. Lineage: Eukaryota; Viridiplantae; Streptophyta; Magnoliopsida; Fagales; Juglandaceae.
ACGCGCUUGAAAGACUUUUUCUCUUGGAUUGCCGGUUUAUUCAAACCUUACUUAUUGAGGUCCGCGCUUUAGAAAUACAGUUUGAUCUGCGAAGAAUGGGUCCCCAGGGGGGAGUUCGUGGAUGGUGGGUCGGUUUCCGUGACUGAUUUGAUUUAUUGGAACACGGAGGCACCGUUGGCAAAGGCCGGCAUUUUAUUUUAAAAUAAUCUUAUAAUUUAAGAGUGACAAUAUAUGACACGAUCUGUUAAUUCAACACGAACACGAUACGAUAAAAGCAGAUUAGAGUUUAGCCUUAACGGGUUCGAAUCAAAAUAAAUUGACCUAUUAAAACACAAUUAUUUAACGGGUCACUAACGAAUCAACCCGUUAUAAUCCGUUAAAAAAAAUUAAAUUUACCUUUAUACCCUUAUAUCUAAAAUUCAAAAAACCAUGACAUUUCCUAACCCACGCCGCCCCCCACUUCACUCUUCAGUUUUUUUUUUCUUUAGUGUUCUCACUCUCAGUUCUUCCUUCUCUUCUCAGUUCUCACGCCCGUCUUUGACUUCAACUCAGAAAUCCGUCACCCACGGCGUCGCCAGGCCCACACCCCUUUGCCCACGGCUCACUAGUUUCUCUGUCUCAGAUUCACUGUGGCCCAAACCAUCGUAUUCCUCCUCACACAGGCAUAGAUCUGCGACGUCCCAGCCUACGGGCCAUCGGUCUCUCCCUCUCCUCUUCUUCUAGAGAUUCGUGGCUUAGCCUCUUCAUCGAUCCCAAAUACACUUGUGAUCAUUUCCCUUAAACAUUAGAACAGAAGGGCAAGAAGAAAAGUGGAGACAGAUUCUUGCAACAGCAAGUGGAGCCUUUCAAUACUCUUUGUUUGAUAUAUUGUAUACAGAUCCUCACAUUUGAGAUUGUAACAUUAAUAUUAUUACAAUAUGUGUUUAUCAAAUUUGGUGCUGUUGGAAUUUUAAUUUCGAUAUAUUUAUUAUUUGGAUUGUAA